CAGUAGCCGCGGUAAUACGUAGGGUGCGAGCGUUGUCCGGAAUUACUGGGCGUAAAGAGCUCGUAGGCGGUUUGUCGCGUCGUCUGUGAAAUUCUGCAGCUUAACUGUAGGCGUGCAGGCGAUACGGGCAGACUUGAGUACUACAGGGGAGACUGGAAUUCCUGGUGUAGCGGUGAAAUGCGCAGAUAUCAGGAGGAACACCGGUGGCGAAGGCUGGUCUCUGGGUAGUAACUGACGCUGAGGAGCGAAAGCGUGGGUAGCGAACAGGAUUAGAUACCCGCGUAGUCCCUGUCUCUUAUAC
RNAcentral lists this ribosomal RNA (301 nucleotides) under uncultured bacterium. Its description in RNAcentral is "partial 16S ribosomal RNA". It matches the Rfam family "Bacterial small subunit ribosomal RNA", at positions 509 to 807 of the family's 1533-position model. The record is from RNAcentral.